UACGGAGGGUGCAAGCGUUAAUCGGAAUUACUGGGCGUAAAGCGUGCGCAGGCGGUUUGUUAAGUCUGCUGUGAAAUCCCCGAGCUCAACUUGGGAAUUGCAGUGGAUACUGGCAAGCUGGAGUACGGUAGAGGAAGGUGGAAUUCCCGGUGUAGCAGUGAAAUGCGUUGAUAUCAGAAGGAACGCCGGUGGCGAAAGCGCUCGACUGGAUCUCUGCUGACGCUGAGGCGCGAAAGCCAGGGGAGCAAACGGG
Molecule: ribosomal RNA, 253 nt
Filed under: uncultured bacterium
Lineage: Bacteria
Description: partial 16S ribosomal RNA
Rfam family: Bacterial small subunit ribosomal RNA
Source: RNAcentral